This 593-nucleotide ribosomal RNA is filed under the name Aphelenchoides sp. G011. RNAcentral's name for it is "eukaryotic LSU rRNA". The record is from RNAcentral. Lineage: Eukaryota; Metazoa; Nematoda; Chromadorea; Rhabditida; Aphelenchoididae.
AGCCGUCACCGGGUGCGAUGUGUGGUGGGCAGUGCUGCAAAGCCUGUCUGUCAUACCUGUCGUACACGUUGGCGGUGCAUUUGCGUGCAGAGUGCGUCGAGUCGGCCGUGCGUGUCGUUGCAAGCGUGCGAAGAGGACCAGCUUGCUGGCACCCUGAGUGCGUGGAAGGCGAGUGCGUAUGGUUGUACGGGGGUUGGUGAACUCGUGGCCGGGUGCGAGGAUGUGGGUUGUUUGCGUGUAGUGCUUGCAUUGCUAGCUUGCGAUUCACGUCUUCGUGUCCGGCUGCUCUGCCCUCACUCGGCGUCGAGUCGGUCACCCAUCCGACCCGUCUUGAAACACGGACCAAGGAGUUUAAGGUUUGCGCAAGUCGUUGAGUGGCAAGCUCAGAGGCGUAAUGAAAGUGGGACACUUGGUGUCUGCGAUGCGACCGGUGUGCGUUUCGAUGCGCGCCGGGCAGCAUAGACCCACGUUCCUUUUUCCUUCCAUGUCCGAGUCCGAAAGCGAAGUCCCAGGACCGAAAGGGAAAGUGGUGGUUCCUUGAAAGGGAAGUUGUUGGUCCUUGUCCUUCUCAAGUCCCAGUAUCCGAGGGAAGU